UGAGAGAGAGAAGAGUAUAAGGAUUUGGAACUAUUGGGUGUAUGCGGUAACAGCCACAUUGAUAAGUCUCAGGUCCUGGACCAGCACUAGUACUUGGAAAGGAGGCGAGAGAGAGAGGAUCCGAGAAAAUGGGAUUUCACUCACCCUUGUAACCAACGGACGCAAUGUGGGCUGGUGUGUGGAUGUCAGUCCAGCAAGGUUGGAAUCCAUAUUUCUACAAUUUCCCUGUUGGAUCUCCCAGCUGCUCUGAGAUAACUCUGCAGUGAAUAUCUGCAUUCAGCAAUCCUUUCUCUCUACAGAAGAUCAAACCAGUACCAGAAUCUAAUUAAAAAUCUCCAUGCAACUGA
This is a long non-coding RNA of Odocoileus virginianus texanus, 347 nucleotides long. RefSeq lists it as uncharacterized. The record is from RefSeq and is a predicted model, not a curated record. Lineage: Eukaryota; Metazoa; Chordata; Mammalia; Artiodactyla; Cervidae.